UCAGGAGUUUCUUUGCCUAAAAACAUGACAUUAUUGCCUUUUACCAUAACGUCCCAUGGGCAAGAAAAUGAACUCCACUAGCUUCAAUCUUUGGAUUUCCUUCGGACGGGU
This 111-nucleotide small nuclear RNA is filed under the name Drechslerella stenobrocha 248. RNAcentral describes it as "U5 spliceosomal RNA". It matches the Rfam family "U5 spliceosomal RNA". Rfam says of the family: U5 RNA is a component of both types of known spliceosome. Lineage: Eukaryota; Fungi; Ascomycota; Orbiliomycetes; Orbiliales; Orbiliaceae. The record is from Rfam by way of RNAcentral.